CUCGCCGUAGUUCAAUGGAUAGAACGCGUGCCUCCUAAGCGCGAGAUACAGGUUCGAUUCCUGUCGGCGGGA
RNAcentral lists this transfer RNA (72 nucleotides) under Thiomonas delicata. It matches the Rfam family "tRNA". Rfam says of the family: Transfer RNA (tRNA) molecules are approximately 80 nucleotides in length. Their secondary structure includes four short double-helical elements and three loops (D, anti-codon, and T loops). The record is from Rfam by way of RNAcentral. Lineage: Bacteria; Pseudomonadati; Pseudomonadota; Betaproteobacteria; Burkholderiales.